This 119-nucleotide ribosomal RNA is filed under the name Eurypyga helias (sunbittern). The record is from RNAcentral. Lineage: Eukaryota; Metazoa; Chordata; Aves; Eurypygiformes; Eurypygidae.
ACAUACAGCCGUACCACUCUCAGAAUGCCUGAUCUUGUCUCUUCUUGGAAGCUAAGCAGGGUUAGGCCCAGUUAGUACUUGGAUGGGAGACCAUCUGGGAAUACCAGGUACUGUAUAGG